GAAUAGCGGCGCGAUUCGCCCUUCCUACGGGGGGCAGCAGUGGGGAAUAUUGCACAAUGGGCGCAAGCCUGAUGCAGCCAUGCCGCGUGUGUGAAGAAGGCCUUCGGGUUGUAAAGCACUUUCAGCGAGGAGGAAGGGUUCAGUGUUAAUAGCACUGUUCAUUGACGUUACUCGCAGAAGAAGCACCGGCUAACUCCGUGCCAGCAGCCGCGGUAAUACGGAGGGGUGCAAGCGUUAAUCGGAAUUACUGGGCGUAAAGCGCACGCAGGCGGUUUGUUAAGUCAGAUGUGAAAUCCCCGCGCUUAACGUGGGAACUGCAUUUGAAACUGGCAAGCUAGAGUCUUGUAGAGGGGGGUAGAAUUCCAGGUGUAGCGGUGAAAUGCGUAGAGAUCUGGAGGAAUACCGGAGGCGAAGGUGGCCACCUGGACCCCCACUGGACAAUCAAGUGACGCUCGGGGUGCAGCAAACGUGGGGAAAAAACAGGAUUACCAUCCCCGGGACGACCUCGAUUUUGAAGUUGUGUGCAUUUAGCAGGUUGUGGGCUUGUACCCGUGGCUUCCGGAGGCUAGGGCGAUUAAAGUCCGACCCGGCUGGGAGAGUACUGACCUCAAGGUUGAAACCUCAAAAUGGAUUUGACGGGGGGCCCGACACAAGCGGGUGGAAGCAUGUGGUUUAAAUCGAUGCAUCGCGAAGAAUCCUCUACCUUACUCUUGACAUCCGAAGAAUUUCGCUAGAGAUAUCUUAGUGCCUCUCCGGCACCUCUGAGAACAAGGUGCUGUCAUGGUCCGGACAUCAGCUUCAGGUUGACAAUGUGGCGUUAGAUCACGACGAUGCGAGCCAUUACUGUGUAGCACAGAGGAUGUGCAGACCUCAGAGAUACUGCUGUAUAAGCGGGAGACGUGGUGUUUAUUUCUCUAUGAUUUUCUAC
RNAcentral lists this ribosomal RNA (928 nucleotides) under uncultured bacterium. RNAcentral's name for it is "bacterial SSU rRNA". It matches the Rfam family "Bacterial small subunit ribosomal RNA", at positions 315 to 1197 of the family's 1533-position model. The record is from RNAcentral.